Long non-coding RNA from Thalassophryne amazonica, 169 nucleotides. RefSeq lists it as uncharacterized. The record is from RefSeq and is a predicted model, not a curated record. NCBI's taxonomy places the organism in Eukaryota, Metazoa, Chordata, Actinopteri, Batrachoidiformes, Batrachoididae. The transcript has 4 exons.
ACUGGAUGAACUCAACUCAGUUAUGUGCAGGAUUUCCAUCUAAUAAAUAUAUGUAGCCCCAACUAAAAAAAAAGCACAUCCAUACAAGAUAAUUUAAAUGAAUUGGGACUACAUGUAUUUGUUAGAUGGAAAUCCAAUCCAAUUUUUUAUUUUAAGUGCGUCUCACAAA